GACGAACGCUGGCGGCGUGCUUAACACAUGCAAGUCGAACGGUAAGGCCCUUCGGGGUACACGAGUGGCGAACGGGUGAGUAACACGUGGGUGAUCCGCCCUGCACUUCGGGAUAAGCCUGGGAAACUGGGUCUAAUACCGGAUAGGACCACUGCCUGCAUGGGUGGUGGUGGAAAGCUUUUGCGGUGUGGGAUGGGCCCGCGGCCUAUCAGCUUGUUGGUGGGGUGAUGGCCUACCAAGGCGACGACGGGUAGCCGGCCUGAGAGGGUGACCGGCCACACUGGGACUGAGAUACGGCCCAGACUCCUACGGGAGGCAGCAGUGGGGAAUAUUGCACAAUGGGCGCAAGCCUGAUGCAGCGACGCCGCGUGAGGGAUGACGGCCUUCGGGUUGUAAACCCCUUUCAGCACCGACGAAGCGCAAGUGACGGUAGGUGCAGAAGAAGGACCGGCCAACUACGUGCCAGCCGCCGCAGUAA
This 478-nucleotide ribosomal RNA is filed under the name uncultured bacterium. RNAcentral's name for it is "partial 16S ribosomal RNA". It matches the Rfam family "Bacterial small subunit ribosomal RNA", at positions 28 to 523 of the family's 1533-position model. The record is from RNAcentral.